AGGUUGUGCGCUGGCUGCCUUUGGGCCUGGAUGCACGUCUGAGGGGCCACAGGGGAUGGCGUUUGUCCUCGUCCGGAAUGGGCACGGAGCAGCUGGAUGAUGAAAAGGCACCUGGCACUUGGAGGACGGAUGCAGUGGGCUGACUGUGCGCUUGGUCUUCUGAAGGAUGGGUGGACUGAGACUCUCGGCCCCUUGAAAGCUAAGUUGAGGCAACGGUGCUGAGGAAGGGGUUGCGGGAGGGAGGGGUUUUAAAGAUGAUGCAGCGGAGCGGGCUGUCCAGGAAGCGGUCCCCUUUGAGAGCA
Molecule: non-coding RNA, 302 nt
Organism: Phalacrocorax carbo (great cormorant)
Lineage: Eukaryota; Metazoa; Chordata; Aves; Suliformes; Phalacrocoracidae
Source: RefSeq, a predicted model, not a curated record